Molecule: long non-coding RNA, 5732 nt
Organism: Manis pentadactyla (Chinese pangolin)
Lineage: Eukaryota; Metazoa; Chordata; Mammalia; Pholidota; Manidae
Exons: 2
Source: RefSeq, a predicted model, not a curated record
CUAACUGUAACCUUCUGUAUUUGUCUUAGAAGUAUUUUUGUUGUCAUUCUGGUUAAAUAGAUAAGUAUUGCUUCCUUUCCUAGCAACCUAUAAUCCUAUUUAAGCAAGUGCCAAAGAAACUUUCUUCUGACAACUUCCCAAAAUCAAAUUCAAAAAGGUGCUUUUACCUCUAGUUAACUCUGAUAUGUUCCAGACGGCCCCUGGAACAGGUCAGAGGAAUUUUUUUUCUCGUUGAGGAAAGUAUUUAGCUAAUUUAGCUUAUUUAUCUGAUAUAUAAUUAUCUGCUUAAUUACCUGGAAAGCACUGUCAAAGAGAAUGAUGCUAAACUUUGUUACUGAAUGUUUUUUUGUUACAGUAGUAUCCCAAUUUCCUUAUGUCAACUGUCUUACAGUAAGCUCUCGUCAGAUCUUUAGCCAUUGUCAUUUGUAAGUCUUCUUUUCAUUUAUAGUCACUGUUUUAUUACUCCUACACUAGUAAAGAACUAUAUUUCAGCAGAACAAGUAUUGGUUACAUAGGUUUAAGUAAACUAAGGAAGAUGAUUUCGUGGCUUUUUGUUUCAAAUGUUACUCUUAAAGUGUUUUAAGCUUUUUCUCUAAAGCUGACAACAGUUUAUUAAAUGACUGUCUUUAUAAGCAGAAUUGAAACUUUAUCUUUCUCUCUACCUGAUCCCUCCAGAAUUUAAAAACUCUCAGUGACUAUUUUUAUAUUUCAUGGCAGUAUGUUUAUUUGCAUAAGUUCAAUAAGAAUCUGCUUUCCUUGUAAGAGGACCAAUUAAAAACACUGGUUAUAUUACCAAGGCUUUGACUGGAAUGUUAUACCUGAGAGACACGUGUGUAAACUCAGAUAUGAACAGACAGCUUUAAGGAACAAGUUCACUUUAUAAAGCCAACAAAGCCCCUUGGAAGAACUGGCCUGGUACCUUGCUUACAGGGUUCCCAGCAGCCUUACCAGGUGAGUAAGGAAGGUCACUUCCUGGCAGGUGCAGGAACCUCAGGAUGUCUUGAAGACCUCAAGAAGAGAGGAAUUCACCCAAAUGCAUAGGUACUGCAGGUACAACCUGAUGGCAAGUCUGGCUUGGCUUUCUGGCCUCAAGAGGCCUUUAAAAGUUCAAUCUGAAACUCCUUAUGAAAAGUUCCAGCAAAGCACAUUUUUAAAAAGCCUAUAUAAUCAAUUGCUCUUCUUAAUGCACUUAUACAAAUUAUCAAGCCAAGUGUUAAUUAUUUUCUUAAUAUGGUUACUUCUAAUAAAAAUGAGGGUAAUGUUAGAGAAAAGUGUUGUUUCAAUAAUGCAGCCUUUAUCUAUACUAAAUACUAAUACUAGUCAUUGAGACAUAAACUAGAUCCAGAAUUCUAGUUUCCCCAAAAUAUCUAACUAUUAUUCUCCAAAUGUGUUAGUUUUCUCCCACUAUUUCAGUUAAAGUUUUACUAUUUCUAGUUCUUGUAUUCAACCAUGCAUUCUUAAUCUCAUCAAGUUUGUCUUUCCAGAAUGAAAAAUUCAACUCCAGAUAUUGCUAUUUAACCUAAUAACACAAUUUGUUCUAUCUUGCCUAGAAGCCAUAAAACUACAAAUAGUAACAGAAAUGGAAACUGAAAUAGAAGUUCCCAUCUUCUGAAGCCCUCUCAACUGACCACUGAUGGAGACCUAACUGCACCGUUUACUGCGCCCCUUCUCAGCAUGAAGGAGUCAGAGCAGUCAUCGCCCCCUUUCCCUAGCAGCAGCUAGAGUCUCUAUCAUCAGAAGGGAAAAUGAAACAAGAACCAUGGGCUUAGAUAGAGUAGAGUGAGGGCCUCUGGAAAAAGCAAGACAAGAUAUUUACAGUCAAAGCAAUGCAACAAUGUAAAGUCCCUAUCAAAACUGUGUUCAGCAUUAUGCAAAGUGAAGAGCACACUAAUUCUCCAGGGUAAACAUACCAGAGUAGGAAUAUAGACAACUUCAGUGAGAUCAGUUAAAAAUUCAAAAGGCCAGGAGCAACUUGUCCUAGAAUGUUUGAGUGUUCUACAAGAGUAUCUCAGCAUUACCCAUGACUUCACUGUAAACAAGCCCCAGAUCUUAGAACUCUUAAAGGCAAUUUGGCUGCCUAAGAGAGCGGCCAUAAUGCACUGUCCAGGACAUCAAAAAGGAAUUUCACCUGAGGCAAGGGGAAACCAUGCAGCUGACCUGGCAGCCGGAGAAGUAGCCCUGAAAAAAAAAAUCUCAGAAUUAAUUAUGACCUUGCCACCACCCAUGUUGCAAGAGAAGCCACAUUAUAAUAGAAAAGACAUAGAGUUUGCUGCAGAGUAUGGGGCAAAAGAAAACAGUGAAGACUGGAUGAUCCACCCUGAUGAGAGAGUUAUGCUCCCUGCUGUGCUGGGAAAGGACUUGCUGAAACAGACACACAGUAGCACCCAUUUGAGUAAAAAUAAAAUGAUAGACUUAGUCCAGAAAGACUUCUAGGUCCCUGGAGCAUGAAAUAGGAGAAAGUUGCAUUGUCUGUCAACAAGUAAAUCCCUCCCAACAGGUUACACAAUUACAGGGAAAUAGGGAGAGAGGAGAAUCCCCGGGGCAACAUUGAGAAGUAGAUUUCACUAAGAUAAAACCUAGAUAAUAUGGGUACAAAUAUUUGUUAGUUUUUGUAAAUACCUUCUCUGGGUAAGUAGAGGCUUUCCCAACAAAGACAGAAACAGCCCAAGUGACUGUGAUAAAGCUUCUAAAUGAAAUAGUCCCCCGGUUCAGGUUGCCACUGCCUAUGGGGUCUGAAAACAUACCGGCUUUUGUGGCACCACUGACCCAAGGAGUUGUUAGUGCCCUGAAUUUCCCAUGGAAACUUCAGUGUGCUUACAGGCCCCAAAGUUCAGGCCAGGUUGAAAGGAUGAAUCAGACCCUGAAAGAGACUCUUACUAAGUUAACUUUGGAAAAUGGUGAAGGGUCGGUACAGCUCCUCCCCUUAGCACUUCUCUGGGUAAGGUGCACCCAAUAUAUUUUAAAGCUCACCCUUUUGAGAUUCUGUUUGGUUGACCCCUCCUAUCCUCCCCCAUGUAGGCUUGGAAAAAGCUACAGAAACCUCUAAUCAAGAAAUUGUGCAGUCCUCACAGGUCCUACAAAGAGUGCAAAACCAAAUCCACUCCCUGGUGAAGGCUGCCAUACAGGGAAACGAUCUGCCAGAACAACACUCGUUCCAGCCAGGAGACGUUCUGUGGGUAAAACGACAUAAGACUGAGGUACUGGGGGCCCGGUGGAAAGGACCUUACCCAGUCGUCUUGACAACCCCUACAGCUGUGAAGUUUGCUGGUGUAAGACCAUGGAUCCAACACACACAGUUUAAGCGAGCUAGAGAGGGGGAGGAAAACCCCACUACUUGGACAGUGGUGAAGCCACCGCCCAACCAAGACCCGCUAAAGAUAAGACUCAAAAGGAAAACCAAAAACUCAGAUGUAUUGUUUUAAUAUUGUUUUUAGAAGCUCUACCUGCUCCCAGUCUUGCCACCCAGCACCCCCACUGGCCAGGAAAUUACUCAUGGAAUUUAAUCAAUACAGCCUUGGGAAAGAAUAUUGUUAGUUUUACAGGAAGUGACCCCCCCAGUUUUUAGAUUUGAUCUCUUUGAACUAUGGCCAGAACUAUCCACUUAUAAGUAUCCUAAGAAUAAGGAUGACAAGGGUUUUCAAAGAGCAUUCCAAAGGUGGGACUUUUUAUGUUUGCCCAGCAAAUCGGGGGGCCAACUUUUAGGGAAAUGGACACUAUCAUUGUGCAAAUUGGGGAUGUGAAACCACAGCCCCCUGGACAGACCAUGACCCCUAUAUUUCCGUGUCUUGAGACAGCUUCCUUGACCUUGAUACAGCUAGAAAGAUGAACCCACUAAAAUUAAAAGUUAAAAAUUAGGACCCUUAUAGGGUGGGAAAGGAUUGGGAGAAAGGAAAGACUUGGAGGCUCCGGCUACAUAUAAGGGGCCAGGACCCAAGAACCGAGUUCACUAUCCAAAGAGUUCAAAUACCCCAGCUUCUGAACCCUGUGGGCCCCCUCCGAGAGGUACCCUUGUUAAAUCCGGUGCCCCUUCCAAUGAGAAGAACACUGCAACUCCCCACCCCAGUGCCAAAGCCCCACACUGAGCCAUCAAGUGGGAAUAUUAGCUUAACAGAACCUCCUGACCCCAGCCUGUUAAUGACCACUACAAGACCCCAGACCAGAUACUUGAGAUGCUAGAGUCAAUCUACAGAUUUGUAAAUUAAUCCACUGUCAAUUUAACAAAUGAUUGCUAGUUCUGCCUAAAUCCCAAACCUCCUUAUUAUGUUAGUCUAGCCGCAAAUGCGACCCUGGGACAAGAAGAAAACAUUCGCCUUUUUAGUCUAGAUGAGAUCAGGGACAGAGGUCUCUGCCCAUGGGGAUUGCACCCCUUGCUUACCUUGGGAGAUGUGCAAGGCACAGGGUUUUGCAUCCAUUCCCCUUCAUAUUCAACCAAAAAUCCUCAUCUUCAGAAACUGUGAAACUACUCUAAACUACACUUCCCCCGCCUCUAGUGAAAAAGUUAACUUCCUGGUUAGCCCAUCUGCCACGUGGUUUGCUUGUACCAGCAGAUUAACCCCUUGUUUGAGCAAUUAAUAACAGCUAGUGUAGGAGACCUAAGGGCACCCGAGCUCUAUAUUUUGGUUCACAUCCUCCCUCAAGUUUAUAACAGGGAAGCCGGUAGAGAACACAUGGGCUUAAUAUAUUCUCUUAGAACAAAAAGAGCAGCCCCCAUCCUAGUGCCCCUCCUAGUUGGGCUGAGAAUAGCAGGAUCAGUAGCAGUAGGGACUGCUUCUUUUGUUGUAAAUAAUGCCAAUUUCAAAGUGCUCAGUAAACAAGUAGAUAAAGAUCUAGGGACGUUAGAGAGCUAAGUCCAUCAGUUAGAGUCAGCUGUAGACUCCCUAGCAGGGGUAGUCUUGCAAAAUAGGGGAGGGCUGGACCUCCUCUUUAUGAAAAAAGAGGGAUUUUGCAUGGCAUUAAGUGAAACCUGCUGCUUCUAUGCAGACAAAUAAGGCAUUAUUCAAGAUACUUUGGCUAUGGUGAGACAGAACCUCAAAGAAAGAGGUUCAGAGGGAAGCAACAGCAAACUGGUAUCAAGGCCUGUUCUCAUAGUCCCCUUGGCCAACAACCCUCCUGACAGCCCUUGCAGGUCCCCUUGCUCUCCUCCUGCUUGUAGUUACUAUAGGGCCCUCUGUUAUAAAUUGUCUCAUGAGUUAUAUUCAGAAGAGACUAGUGGCAAUAAAGCUACUUUUCAUUAAAGAACAUUACAAAGCCAAAAAAAAAAAAACUGAAGAGUCAAUGGUUUGACUCUGUUACAAGGAGAGGGGGGAAUGUGAGGGGCUGAAGCAAUUUCAGACAUAAAAAUAGGAAACAAAGCUCUCUGUAAAGUUAGCCCAGACCCUAGACACGUACCAACUUCUGAGAAACUAAAGGAAAAGAUAUAAAUCCCAUGAGAAACAGGAUGUUCAACUAACUCCACGCUAUUUUUGCUUCUGUACAUUGCUUUGUUAGAGACCAACAGUUUCACACAUUUCCUGCAGCAGGUGGGCAAAACAGGAUGCUUAAGCCCCCGGAGCAUUGAACAAAGAAUAUAGCUUGCUGAAUUUAGGCGAAGGCGGAAAAGUUGCAAAAACUAAGCAGGAUGCGGUAAAAAUGCUUAAAAAGAUGUUGUAACAGAGGCUCGGGGCUGCACUUGGAGAGCUUGCUCCUUGGCAGAUGCCAGCCGGCUAAAAUAAAGGCUCCCUUUUUAUAAUCUA